Molecule: RNA transcript, 2726 nt
Organism: Sciurus carolinensis (gray squirrel)
Lineage: Eukaryota; Metazoa; Chordata; Mammalia; Rodentia; Sciuridae
Gene name: sulfotransferase 2A1-like
Exons: 5
Source: RefSeq, a predicted model, not a curated record
UUCCUUAUCUGGGCACCAACUGCUUGAUGGAAAUUCUCUGCCGGAUUCACUCCAAAGGGGAUACCAAGUGGAUUCAAUCUGUGCCUAUCUGGGAACACUCACCCAGAUGACAGAUGUGGGUUACAAAUUGCUAAAUGAGACAGAGGGCCCACGGUUCCUAAUGUCUCACCCUCCCUUCCAUCUCUUCCUCAAGUCGUUAUUCACUUCCAAGGCUAAGGUGCUUUAUAUCAUGAGAAACCCCAAAGAUGUUCCUGUGUCUUGUUAUUAUUUUUGGACUACGUCAAAACUUUCAAAGAAACCAGAAUCACUGGAACAAUGUUUUAAGUGGUUCAUCCAAGGAAACGUGCCCUAUGGAUCAUGGUUCGAGCUCAUUCGUGGCUGGAUGUCCAUGAGAGACAGGGAGACCUUCCUGCUGCUGAGUUAUGAAGAGCUGCAGAAGCAUCACUCUGGAUUGUUCACACUUAAGGGACCAAGAAGCACCAUAGAGAAGAUCUGUCAGUUCCUGGGAAAGAAGCUCAAUCCAGAAGAACUGGAUUCCGUGCUAGAGAAUAGCUCUUUCCACGUCAUGAAACAAAACCAGACGUCUAAUUUUGAAAUAUUGCCUGAAACUUUAAUUACUAAGCAUUUCUCAAUGACAAGGAAAGGUAAAUGCUCUGGCUUCAGAAUGCAUGAGAUUACUUGGAGGGCACUCUUGUCUUUACUGCCAAGAGUCAAGGUGUUUGAACAUAUCAACUUUAGUCGUUCAUGGCCCAGAAAACUGCUCAUGUGCCCUUAUAUGAAAUACAUUUCCAUCUUACUUGUAUUAGCUGCAGGUACCUGGUGAAAGUUGAUUCAGUGUUGGAGAGGAGGGUGGUUUUGGAGAUGGUGGUGUCUGGGCUACUCCACUGUGACUUACCACAGAGAAUGGCCCUAUAGAAAAAGAUACCCAAAGAAAGAUCAAGUUGGAGAAGGUGGGGAGGAGGUCAUUUGCUAGGAAACAUCAUAAGGCCUCCUUCCUGUGAGGGAAGAUGAAUCACAUCAACACCCUUGGAUUCAGGCCUAUUGAAAAUGUCUAGUGCAAGUGAUGUGAGAACCUGUUUUUCCAAAAUUCCUCCAGCUAAUAUGUAUCUGGAAGGGUGAACCAUGGCAUAAAUCUACCAAAUGCUUCAAAAGAUACUCAAAAGGUCAGGUUUCCUGCACACAGUGCACAUGGAGCACAGAGGGAUAAAACAGAGGACUGGGCUGGGGAUGUCACUCAGUGGGAGAGCAGAGUAUAGCAGAAGAAAUCAGUGAAGAUUGUCUGGUAAUGAAGAUAACAAUGAAAAUGUGAGUAAGAGUGAGUGUUCAUAGGACAGCAGUCACAUGUUUGACACUCUGUUACUUUAUAUUCACAUGACUAUAGGGUUUACAUGCAUAGGAUAUAUUAGCUUACAUAUUGUUACAUAUUUUAUUAAUUAAUUAGAUUGGUCUACUAUGUGAAAAUUUAUAUGAUACAUAAAAUAAUACUGUAAUCACAUAAGUACAGGGCAUGACCAAUACCCUUAUCCCCAGCUUCCAUUCCUCCCCCACCAUUUUCUCAAUGUUAACCCCUCUAGGGCUUCCUAAAUCCUUAUCUGUAAAACAGGGUAUUAUGCUGAUAUAUUACUCAUUAAUCAUUAAUCCUUUCAAUGAUUAUUAAUUUAACCUAUAUUCUUUGAAGCACUAGAUCUUAGGUAAUUUAUGAAAAAAGUGUUGACUUCCUAAUAUGAUAGGAAUGCAUACUUAGGCACAUUCCAAAAGGUAACACAUACGACAUGUCAUAGUCGAUCAUUCCUGAUAAGUGUACAAGGAUGGAGAGGCACAGUUCUGAACUGAGGACCUCACUGAGUAACUGCAUUGCAGUAAAUGUUUGAAUGAGGCAAAAGGACAAGAAGUGAAUAUGUCCACCAGGACAGCACUCUGGGGUGAGGUCAUGACAUGAGAAGAGCCCCCAGAGGGGGAGCCUGGCAUGUUUGAAGCUGGGUAGCCACAGGGGUGGGUCUGAAACAACAAGGACACUAUACCUAGAGACUCAAAAGCAUGCAGAAACUUAGCUGCAGGAAAGUGGAAGUCCUGGGAGACUCUGAGCCGUCAGUGACUGAAGCCACUGGACCUGGCAAUGGAACAGCAUGGGCGCCACAUGCAGAACACCUUCUAAUAGAGAAUGGCCAAAAGCGGAGAGAUUCAUCAUCUGCUGUGAUCACCCAGGCAUCUGUGGGGACUGGAAGAAUCACUUCACAGUGGCCCAAGCUGAAGCCUUUAAUAAAGUAUUCCAAGAGAAGAUGGAGGUUUUCCCAAAGAACUGUUCCCAUGGGAAUAAUGUCCCAGAGACUCUGGAUCUUCUAUGGAUGCUGAUACUUGUUGUCCUGUCCUGGAACAGUUGGAGGAUGGGGGACGGGUUCUUUGCAUAAAACCCACUUCUACAUGAAAGGGGGAGGAAAAGACAGGAUGGCAUAAAGAACCAAUGAAAUAUAAAUUACUAGAUAAGCAGAAGGAAAUCCAGUCAAGUAGAGAAGGAGAAUGGGAGAGGGGAGGGGCAUGGCAGGGAAAGGGCAAGCAGGGACUGUAAUGGAUUUCCAUGCAUGAAUGAGUUUUUCUGGAUAAACCCAACUGCUAUGUAUAAUUAUUACACUCUGACAAAAAAAAAAAAACAAAACCAAAAACAAACAAACAAACAAAAAAACUAUGUCUUCACUCUGGAACCUUGAAUCAUACAUUUUUGUUUCUCU